UGGGGGUGAAAAAUUAUCCAAGCCUAAUGGUUUUGCUGAAGUUGAUAUCAUAGAAGAACUUUUGAUUCUUGAUUUUGAUAACUCAAUUGAUAUCAUAGUGUCUAGCACAUAUCCAAACCUACAAAAUUAUUACAAGGAUGAACUAUUUAUGCAAUCUAGGUGAUGUGAACCUCCUGCGGAUGGUUUGCUUUCUUUGCCGAUCAUUCUUGUCUGAAACUUAAUUUGACUCACAUAAUAACAUUUUUUUUAAUGUCUACGUUUUGUUUAUGAUUAUAGGUGAAAUGUGAAUGGAAUUCGUGUUUGGGCUGAAGUGGUGUUUAUUUUUUGUUUAUGAAUUUUUAUGUGUUUGUGUUGGAUAAAAGAAAGUGGAAAGGGAUGAAGAUGAAAACGCCACAAGCAAAGUAGCUUAAUAAGCCAAGGAGGUUCGCCAUAAGGAAGAAUCUUUGAUAAGGCCACGGUUAAGGCGUCACACCAAUGGUGAUAAGCCUAUGAACACCACAAGAACUAGUCUUGAUAAGUUCUAAGUUAGGAGCAAAUCUCAACUAAAGAGGAGUUAAUCCAAACAAAAUUCAACGUGAUUCAUUCAUGUUGAAAAGAAAUAUAUAAAUAGGGAAAUUCUGAAUUGACUAUGCCUAAUUUUGAAAUUUGAAAUCCUAAUUAAUACAUGUAAUUAAAUGAGUUUAAUCGUUGAGUUAUUUUGGCACUUGAGUUGGCAGAAUUCCUUGAAGCUUUCAGCCAUGUGUUUAUUUGUUUUGGGAAAAUUGAAUGUGUCUUGCUAGGUUGAGUUGUUGUGGACGAAUUCCUUAAGGAAAAUGCUUGAAAAUGAAAGUUCAUAAGUUCUUGGAUCUUCAUGUUUUUUAAUUCAAAUUGGAGUAGCUGAUUGCCUUUGGAUACUUGCAAAUCUGAAUGGAUGCCUAAGGCUUCACACGCCCCUUUUGAAUGAAAAGGCUUUAUUACUUUUCUUUCUUGGAUGAACCUUGAAUGCUUUGAAUGAGACUUCAGUAGUUUCCAUUCUGGAAUGAUCCUUGUCUUGAAUGCCUUGGAUUACACGUCUAACAUAUGUUUAAAUCAAACAAGGAAGGUAUUUAUUCAUUUAAUUCCCUUCCAAUCUGAAUUAAUCCCAUAAGGCAAGGUUUUGAAAUCGCCUCUUACUUUAAUUCACACGCCAUUCCAAUAAGGAGUGUAUCUAUGGGCAUUCAUUCUCUUAAAGCAUCAUGACCCCAAUAAGG
RNAcentral lists this long non-coding RNA (1229 nucleotides) under Lupinus angustifolius (narrow-leaved blue lupine). Its description in RNAcentral is "long non-coding RNA (LANG_LNC001102)". Lineage: Eukaryota; Viridiplantae; Streptophyta; Magnoliopsida; Fabales; Fabaceae. The record is from RNAcentral.